Molecule: ribosomal RNA, 264 nt
Filed under: uncultured bacterium
Lineage: Bacteria
Description: partial 16S ribosomal RNA
Rfam family: Bacterial small subunit ribosomal RNA
Source: RNAcentral
GUCCACGCCGUAAACGAUGGGCACUAGAUGCCGGGCCUAUAGACGGGUUCGGUGUCGCAGCUAACGCAUUAAGUGCCCCGCCUGGGGAGUACGGCCGCAAGGCUGAAACUCAAAGGAAUUGACGGGGCCCGCACAAGCGGUGGAGCAUGUGGUUUAAUUCGAAGCAACGCGAAGAACCUUACCUAGGCUUGACAUACCGGUGAAACCCCGUGGAAACACGGGGCCUCCUUCGGGACACCAGUACAGGUGCUGCAUGGCUGUCGU